UACGUAGGGUGCGAGCGUUGUCCGGAAUUAUUGGGCGUAAAGAGCUCGUAGGCGGUUCGUCACGUCGGCUGUGAAAACCUGAGGCUCAACCUCAGGCCUGCAGUCGAUACGGGCGGACUUGAGUACUGCAGGGGAGACUGGAAUUCCUGGUGUAGCGGUGAAAUGCGCAGAUAUCAGGAGGAACACCGGUGGCGAAGGCGGGUCUCUGGGCAGUAACUGACGCUGAGGAGCGAAAGCGUGGGGAGCGAACAGG
RNAcentral lists this ribosomal RNA (253 nucleotides) under uncultured bacterium. Its description in RNAcentral is "partial 16S ribosomal RNA". It matches the Rfam family "Bacterial small subunit ribosomal RNA", at positions 524 to 776 of the family's 1533-position model. The record is from RNAcentral.